RNAcentral lists this transfer RNA (92 nucleotides) under Elaeagnus multiflora (cherry silverberry). Its description in RNAcentral is "tRNA-Phe". Lineage: Eukaryota; Viridiplantae; Streptophyta; Magnoliopsida; Rosales; Elaeagnaceae. RNAcentral also lists the same sequence under 1 other name. The record is from RNAcentral.
AGAGAAUGAUACAAAAGAUCUGUAUUUGUUUAAAAAGCAAAAAAAAAGAUCUAUUUUAUGGUUUCCAUUGGUGCAAAUCCAAUCAUUUUCUA